This 243-nucleotide long non-coding RNA is filed under the name Durio zibethinus. Its description in RNAcentral is "long non-coding RNA (DZIB_LNC002249)". Lineage: Eukaryota; Viridiplantae; Streptophyta; Magnoliopsida; Malvales; Malvaceae. The record is from RNAcentral.
UUAAGUCCACAAUCAUCCAGUCACACAAUCACAUCUAAAAUGUAAUAAAUAACUUGUUUGAUUCAAGUUUAUGAUCUUACAAAUCUAUCCUUUGAAUUAAUAUCAAUAUCAUAUAUCCAAAUAUUAACUCAACUAUUAUGAUGCAAGGCUUUGCUUGGUUCAAAUAAGUCAUUAUUUAGAACCUAGACAAAUUAGGAUAACAUGGCUGAAUUUGUCUACUACAUGUUUUAGGAUAAAUAGUUU